AGUUGCCAUAUUGUAAUAUAUUUUGGUAAAGAUUAUUAAAAGAUGAAACCUUUCACACUACAGUUACCAAUUGUGACUGCUUUUCAUUUCCUUUUAUCUUGAUUGAAAUAAAAAGAGUUAAAUGUUUACCAUGAAAGAACUGAAUUAUAGAAAAAAGUAAAAAAGUCUACAACACCGGGGGUUCCCAAGUGGUCUCCCUCCCAAGUACUAACCCGGCCCGAAGCUGCUUAACUUCGGAGAUCGGACGGGAUCCGGUGUUUUCAGCCUGGUGUGGUCGUAGACACAAGAGAAGUGCUUGUUUUUGUAUUUGAAUGUUUCUUUUUAGCAUUUUGUUGCUUCUUAAGUUGAUUGUAUUUACUUGAUUACUAUCACUAGAUGGCAUUAGUUAAUAUUCAUUUAGUUGUCGCCAUCUAAUGUGUUUUAUGUUAACCAAUGUUUGUUUCUAUUUUGAGCAUAAAUCCUUUAAUCAUUUUUGAUCAAUUAUGUUUUGUACUGAUGAACUUUGAUUAAAUAUAGAUACAAUUAUUGAUCAACAAUAUGUUCAAGAUUGCUUCUGCCUAUGUUGACCUUUCCACUACAUGAAACUAUCAUUUACAGUAAAUUUUCAUUUCUUUCUCAGAUAUUAAUUUCUUGCUUUCACAAUUGUCUGGUUUUUAUAUUACUUGUUUAUGGUAUUAAUACUAGUGAAGACAUUUACAAGCCAAAACUUGAUAUUUUACACUCUUGGCUCAAUAUCCAUUGACGACUCUCUAUGUUUGGAUCAUACUUUUCAUGAAACUCUAUUCACAAUCCAAUAUUACCAUGAUAAUCAGCACUUCUAGAGUUACCCUACAAAACCAAUCAGUCUAACCAUGGACAAAGAUUUUUUUAUCAUUUAUCUUAUUCAGCUUUGAAUCCGAUUUAUCAGCUAUAUUUAAACAAACCGAUAUUGAGAAGCAAAACCAACUUCCUAUAAGUCUUUAUACUAAAGGUAAUCAAGAUGAACUUGAUUCUCAUUGCUUUGUCUAACAGUGGAAACAAGUAAAGAUAUCAACUUGAUUCCUUGGCCAUUAUAUUAAACCAUUAAUCAGAUAACUUUCAAUAUUGAGUUCAUUAUUUUCAACAGAAAUCAUUUCAACCAGAAUCAUCGAUAAAUGUAAGUACACUUGAUUAUUGUGAGAAGUAAAGCUUUUUGUCUUCAACUUUACCCUUUUAAAAGUAAAAAACACACACAAACACCUGAACCAUUCCCAAGCCAUACCGAGCAACUCAGAGUAACCAAUGAAUAAUAACGAUUCAGUUCAAUUGAAGGCAAACCAAGACCUUUGAAAGCAACUCACAAUAUUUGCUCACAAUUGAACCAUUGAAAAGUUGAUCCAAUAUCUGAUCAAAGUGACAACAAUAAAGCAACUAAUGAACUUGAAUCAGCAAAAAUUAAGCCAAUGUAACUCAAUAUCAGAUAAAGUAAACUGAAAAGUUGAUCAACAAUAAAUUGAAGCCAUUAAUAUCGACCAACAAAAUGACUGGCAAUACCAAUUGAUUGCGAGUUACAAGAAAUGUGAUCCUGAAAAUUGAUCAACAAUAUGAAUCAAUUUACAAGUAAAUUAUACAAUAAUCACAUAAAUUGCAACCAGUGAUGAAGGCAAGAAACUAAUUAUCAAUACAAGUCAACAAAAGAGGAGACAAGGAAAAAAGUCUUGCCAAGUUUCAGUUUCAGAGCAAAAAAGGUUCAACCUGAGAACGAAAAGCAAUCUCUUGAUGUGAUUAAUCAAGUUUAAUACAACAUUCUGAGAUAACAUGAUUGAACAGGGUUGAAACAUGAUUGUGGUGACAAGAAAGGGGCCCAACAAAAGUACAAGAUAAGAAGAGCAAAAAAUGACUCGAGAUGUUCAUUUGUUCACUGGGAAGCUUCAUUUAAUCGAUUAAUUUCCUGAUUCCAUUUUACCUUCAUUGAACCUGCAUGAACUUUUCCAUGUUCAACCAAGUCUAUUGAUUUGCAAAGAUUAUCAGAAUCGUGCCAAUAACUUACCUAUUGUACAAGACGAUAUCUGGAAGCCAAAUUAGUUCACAGGGAAUCCUGAUCUUGGAUACGUUUCCAAAUUGCUUGACAUCCCAGGUUAAAAAGUCAUCAAUCCAUUCCUAAAUUGGAUAGCAAAAAAUGUUGAUCAAUUAUGCAAAGAAUUGCAAGAAAAUGGUUUUCAAUUGUUGAACCCUCAAUUUUGGGGUUCACUUUAAUAUGCAAGUUAAUCAAAUUUCAAGUGGCAUGUAAAUUGAUAAAUUGCUUAGAGUAAAGUACUUUUUUUUACCUUU
Molecule: non-coding RNA, 2289 nt
Organism: Tetranychus urticae (two-spotted spider mite)
Lineage: Eukaryota; Metazoa; Arthropoda; Arachnida; Trombidiformes; Tetranychidae
Source: RefSeq, a predicted model, not a curated record